Molecule: long non-coding RNA, 423 nt
Filed under: Homo sapiens (human)
Lineage: Eukaryota; Metazoa; Chordata; Mammalia; Primates; Hominidae
Description: non-protein coding lnc-BOD1-1:6
Source: RNAcentral
ACACAGGCAAACUCACACACACGAGCAUGCACAGGCAGAGAACACAAAUGUACACUCCCAGGUGUCAUAAAGAACAGCCCAGCUUCGGCUUGGGAACGUCACAUCAGACAAUAGGAACGGCUGCACCGCGCGUUUCCUCGGCUGCCAGCUUCCCAGCCACAGAGGAUGCCUCACCUGCUAUGUCAGCUCCCCUCUGCCCCACCUCACAAGAAGCUCAGAAGCUGAGGAGUCACAGAGAGACCUCCCUACUGUGUCAGAGGUACAGCUUGAGCAAAGACACAGAAGCAGAAGGCAGGUUUUUGGUUCCAUGAACUCUACAUCUGGCUACAUACAAAUGGUGAAGAGGAACAGGGAGAAACAUGGUUGAAAAGAACAGGCUUGGACUUCAGGAAGCAGUAAAAUGAGCGAAUGCCAUUUAUGGUU